RNAcentral lists this ribosomal RNA (430 nucleotides) under uncultured archaeon. RNAcentral describes it as "bacterial SSU rRNA". It matches the Rfam family "Archaeal small subunit ribosomal RNA", at positions 347 to 778 of the family's 1478-position model. The record is from RNAcentral.
AUUUUACAAUGCGNGAAAGUGUGAUAAGGCGAUCCUNAGUGCUCAUACNCUGUAUNGGCUUUUGCCAAGGGUAAAUACCUUGGAGAAUAAGUGGUGGGCAAGACUGGUGCCAGCCGCCGCGGUAACACCAGCGCCACGAGUGGGAGNCGCUAUUAUUGGGCCUAAAGCGUCCGUAGCUGGUCUGGUAAAUCUCUUGUGAAAUCGACCAGCUUAACUGUACGGCAUGCAGGAGACACUGCCAGACUUGAGACCGGGAGAGGUGAGAGGUAUUCNNGGGGAAGCGGUAAAAUCCUAUAAUCCUUUGAGGACCACCUGUGGCGAAGGCGCCUAACCAGAACGGGUCUGACAGUGAGGGACGAAAGCUAGGGGAGCAAACCGGAUUAGAUACCCGAGUAGUCCUAGCUGUAAACGAUGCGAGUUAGGUGUUGCA